This 253-nucleotide ribosomal RNA is filed under the name uncultured bacterium. RNAcentral's name for it is "partial 16S ribosomal RNA". It matches the Rfam family "Bacterial small subunit ribosomal RNA", at positions 524 to 776 of the family's 1533-position model. The record is from RNAcentral.
CACGGGGGGAGCAAGCGUUGUUCGGAAUCACUGGGCGUAAAGGGCGUGUAGGCGGUCAAGUAAGUGGAAUGUGAAAGCCCCCGGCUUACCCGGGGAUCUGCAUCCCAAACUGCUUGGCUUGAGUACGGGAGAGGAUAGGGGAAUUCCUGGUGUAGCAGUGAAAUGCGUAGAUAUCAGGAGGAACACCGAUGGCGAAGGCAGGUCUCUGGGCUGAAACUGACGCUCAUGCACGAAAGCGUGGGGAGCAAACAGG